This 294-nucleotide unclassified non-coding RNA is filed under the name uncultured Ascomycota. Its description in RNAcentral is "sequence contains ITS1". The stretch from base 1 to 105 matches the Rfam family "5.8S ribosomal RNA", at positions 50 to 154 of the family's 154-position model. The record is from RNAcentral. Lineage: Eukaryota; Fungi; Ascomycota.
GAAAUGCGAUAAGUAAUGUGAAUUGCAGAAUUCAGUGAAUCAUCGAAUCUUUGAACGCACAUUGCGCCCCCUGGUAUUCCGGGGGGCAUGCCUGUUCGAGCGUCAUUACACCCCUCAAGCCCGGCUUGGUGUUGGGCGCCGCGGUCCGCCGCGCGCCCCAAUGUCCCCCGGCCGCGCCGUCCGUCUCCCCGCGUUGUGGCAACCCAGUCGCGACGGAGCCGGCCCGGCGUGGGCCGUUCGACCCCCCCUUCUCAGGUUGACCUCGGAUCAGGUAGGGAUACCCGCUGAACUUAA